GAUGAACGCUGGCGGCGUGCCUAAUACAUGCAAGUCGAGCGAACAGACGAGGAGCUUGCUCCUCUGACGUUAGCGGCGGACGGGUGAGUAACACGUGGAUAACCUACCUAUAAGACUGGGAUAACUUCGGGAAACCGGAGCUAAUACCGGAUAAUAUAUUGAACCGCAUGGUUCAAUAGUGAAAGACGGUUUUGCUGUCACUUAUAGAUGGAUCCGCGCCGCAUUAGCUAGUUGGUAAGGUAACGGCUUACCAAGGCAACGAUGCGUAGCCGACCUGAGAGGGUGAUCGGCCACACUGGAACUGAGACACGGUCCAGACUCCUACGGGAGGCAGCAGUAGGGAAUCUUCCGCAAUGGGCGAAAGCUUGACGGAGCAACGCCGCGUGAGUGAUGAAGGUCUUCGGAUCGUAAAACUCUGUUAUUAGGGAAGAGCAAAUGUGUAAGUAACUAUGCACGUCUUGACGGUACCUAAUCAGAAAGCCACGGCUAACUACGUG
RNAcentral lists this ribosomal RNA (497 nucleotides) under uncultured bacterium. RNAcentral describes it as "partial 16S ribosomal RNA". It matches the Rfam family "Bacterial small subunit ribosomal RNA", at positions 28 to 507 of the family's 1533-position model. The record is from RNAcentral.